UGGGGAAUAUUGGACAAUGGGCGCAAGCCUGAUCCAGCCAUGCCGCGUGAGUGAUGAAGGCCUUAGGGUUGUAAAGCUCUUUCGCACGCGACGAUGAUGACGGUAGCGUGAGAAGAAGCCCCGGCUAACUUCGUGCCAGCAGCCGCGGUAAUACGAAGGGGGCAAGCGUUGUUCGGAAUUACUGGGCGUAAAGCGCACGCAGGCGGUUGUUCUAGUUAGAAGUGAAAGCCCCGGGCUCAACCUGGGAACUGCUUUUAAUACUGGACAGCUAGAAUUAUGGAGAGGGUAACGGAAUUCCGAGUGUAGAGGUGAAAUUCGUAGAUAUUCGGAAGAACACCAGCGGCGAAGGCGGUUACCUGGCCAUUUAUUGACGCUCAUGUGCGAAAGCGUGGGGAGCAAACAGG
This 404-nucleotide ribosomal RNA is filed under the name uncultured bacterium. RNAcentral's name for it is "bacterial SSU rRNA". It matches the Rfam family "Bacterial small subunit ribosomal RNA", at positions 355 to 776 of the family's 1533-position model. The record is from RNAcentral.